Molecule: small RNA, 524 nt
Filed under: Pongo abelii (Sumatran orangutan)
Lineage: Eukaryota; Metazoa; Chordata; Mammalia; Primates; Hominidae
Description: processed transcript
Source: RNAcentral
ACUGCCGGCAACUUUGUGAGUGAGUUCAGUGCGUGCGUGUGCGAGUGAGCGAAAAGGAGAGCGCGCGGCGGACGUGCCCGAGACGCGCGGCGGCACCGGGAGGCCGGGCCGAGCGGUCUUAAAACAUGUUGGAAAAAGUUGAAGCUCCCCUUUUCUACCCUCCUGAUCCUGUGCUUCUAUUGGAGUGCAUAUCACUUGAUGGCUUCUAAGACAAAUGUUAAAUUCUUGUCAGAUUACGCAAGUCUCACUCUUGUCACCCAGGCUAGAGUGCAGUGGUACAAUAUUGGCUCACUGCAUCCUCUGCCUCCUGGGUUCAAGCGAUUCUUGUACCUCAGCCUCCCAAGUAGCGGGGAUUACAGGCCCUCCCUAUCCUGAAGACAUUAGCUGAGAGUCUGGCACCUUUUAAAGGUCUGAUCAUCAAUUGUCUCUCUGGGCAGCCACCUAUGAGACUUCAUCUAUAUGGUUAUACCUUAUUGGUGUGGAUGUUGUUGUCUAAAUUUCGGUAGCCAUGGCACAACAAUAUA